The sequence is a small RNA, 84 nucleotides long. It matches the Rfam family "Flavo-1 RNA".
ACUUAGCCCCGAUUGAAGCAAUUGUUUGAGCUCUUUUUUGUUUUUUUCAAACAAAAAAAGCGAGUGCGGAAAGCGGGAAAUAGC